This 156-nucleotide ribosomal RNA is filed under the name Brassica napus (rape). RNAcentral's name for it is "rRNA 5_8S_rRNA". It matches the Rfam family "5.8S ribosomal RNA". From Rfam's summary of the family: 5.8S ribosomal RNA (5.8S rRNA) is a component of the large subunit of the eukaryotic ribosome. It is transcribed by RNA polymerase I as part of the 45S precursor that also contains 18S and 28S rRNA. The record is from RNAcentral. Lineage: Eukaryota; Viridiplantae; Streptophyta; Magnoliopsida; Brassicales; Brassicaceae.
GACCCUCGGCAAUGGAUAUCUCGGCUCUCGCGUCGAUGAAGAACGUAGCAAAAUGCGAUACUUGGUGUGAAUUGCAGAAUCCCGUGAACCAUCGAGUCUUUGAACGCAAGUUGCACCCCAAGCCUUCUGGCCGAGGGCACGUCUGCAUGGGUGUCA